RNAcentral lists this ribosomal RNA (489 nucleotides) under uncultured bacterium. RNAcentral's name for it is "bacterial SSU rRNA". It matches the Rfam family "Bacterial small subunit ribosomal RNA", at positions 28 to 507 of the family's 1533-position model. The record is from RNAcentral.
GAUGAACGCUAGCGGCAGGCCUAACACAUGCAAGUCGAGGGGCAUCAUGGCGUAGCAAUACGCUGAUGGCGACCGGCGCACGGGUGCGUAACGCGUAUGGAACCUACCCACCGCAGGGGGAUAACCCGCCGAAAGGCGGACUAAUACCCCAUGGUUCCCCGACCCUGCCUGGGGGUUGGGGGUAAAGCCUACGGGCGGCGGUGGAUGGCCCUGCGUGCCAUUAGCUGGCUGGUGGGGUAACGGCCCACCAAGCCUGCGAUCAGUAACUGGUGUGAGAGCACGACCAGUCACACGGGCACUGAGACACGGGCCCGACUCCUACGGGAGGCAGCAGUAAGGAAUAUUGGUCAAUGGACGAAAGUCUGAACCAGCCAUGCCGCGUGAAGGAUUAAGGCCCUCUGGGUUGUAAACUUCUUUUAUCUGGGACGAAAAAAGGGCUUUCUAGCUCACUUGACGGUACCAGAGGAAUAAGCACCGGCUAACUCCGUG